Mercenaria mercenaria is the source of this 285-nucleotide long non-coding RNA. RefSeq lists it as uncharacterized. The transcript has 3 exons. Lineage: Eukaryota; Metazoa; Mollusca; Bivalvia; Venerida; Veneridae. The record is from RefSeq and is a predicted model, not a curated record.
AUUUUAUUUUUACUUCCUAAUGCGUAUCCUACCUAUGUUCAGUAUGUGACUAGAAGUCGAAUUUAUCAGGGAGCAAUAUAAUGAACGGAUAUACGUUUUUAGUAUGCCUGUGUUGCCUGUAUCCAAUUUUACGUGGAACACAAGCUCAAGAGAGAUACCUUGGGCAAUCAUGUAGUGCUGAUUCCAAUUGUUCUCUAGUGAGCAACAGCGAAUGUAGCAGUGGCACAUGUUCUUGUAUGAUUGGCUACUUUCAAACGGGAUCAAGCCCCACUGACUCGUGUUUAA